Molecule: ribosomal RNA, 423 nt
Filed under: Escherichia coli
Lineage: Bacteria; Pseudomonadati; Pseudomonadota; Gammaproteobacteria; Enterobacterales; Enterobacteriaceae
Description: partial 23S ribosomal RNA
Rfam family: Bacterial large subunit ribosomal RNA
Source: RNAcentral
GUUAUAACCGGCGAUUUCCGAAUGGGGAAACCCAGUGUGUUUCGACACACUAUCAUUAACUGAAUCCAUAGGUUAAUGAGGCGAACCGGGGGAACUGAAACAUCUAAGUACCCCGAGGAAAAGAAAUCAACCGAGAUUCCCCCAGUAGCGGCGAGCGAACGGGGAGCAGCCCAGAGCCUGAAUCAGUGUGUGUGUUAGUGGAAGCGUCUGGAAAGGCGCGCGAUACAGGGUGACAGCCCCGUACACAAAAAUGCACAUGCUGUGAGCUCGAUGAGUAGGGCGGGACACGUGGUAUCCUGUCUGAAUAUGGGGGGACCAUCCUCCAAGGCUAAAUACUCCUGACUGACCGAUAGUGAACCAGUACCGUGAGGGAAAGGCGAAAAGAACCCCGGCGAGGGGAGUGAAAAAGAACCUGAAACCGUG